AGGGAAUAUUGGACAAUGGGGGCAACCCUGAUCCAGCCAUGCCGCGUGAGUGAAGAAGGCCCUCGGGUUGUAAAGCUCUUUUGUCCGGAAAGAAAAGCUUCGGGUUAAUACCCCGGGGUUCUGACGGUACCGGAAGAAUAAGCACCGGCUAACUUCGUGCCAGCAGCCGCGGUAAUACGAAGGGUGCAAGCGUUACUCGGAAUUACUGGGCGUAAAGCGUGCGUAGGUGGUUGUUUAAGUCUGAAGUGAAAGCCCUGGGCUCAACCUGGGAAUGGCAUUGGAAACUGGGCAGCUAGAGUGCGGUAGAGGGUAGUGGAAUUCCCGGUGUAGCAGUGAAAUGCGUAGAGAUGUGGAGGAACACCGAUGGCGAAGGCAGCCCCCUGGGCCUGUACUGACGCUCAUGCACGAAAGCGUGGGGAGCAAACA
This 426-nucleotide ribosomal RNA is filed under the name uncultured bacterium. RNAcentral describes it as "bacterial SSU rRNA". It matches the Rfam family "Bacterial small subunit ribosomal RNA", at positions 356 to 774 of the family's 1533-position model. The record is from RNAcentral.